UCCCCUUUUGGGGCCUGUUGAGAUCCCCCCUGCCCCAGUUGAGAGGUGUUUACAGUGGGGAAACUCCACCAGAUGUCUGACACCAACUCAGGAAGUAGGAGCCUGAGUGAGUCCGUUCUCCCCCACAGGCCACAGCAAGUGGCUGAGAACUCACCCAAGGGCAGGAUGGCACCAUUGGUGGAUCGUCUUUCUUCCCUGAUGCUCUGGCCCUCUCUCUGGGCAGGCAGAGGGCAGGUGACAGCUAGUCCUGCUGCAUGCUCAUGCUUUCCUCUCCAUGCAGCGGGAGGACUUGCUUCUAAAGGCAGCCGUAAGCAUUUCCCUCCUGAGCAACCACACAUAUCGAAUAACAGCUGUUUGAGGAAACACCUAGAACACACCUAGAAGAGCAAAAGGAAGAAAGACUCUGAACACUUUUAAAGACAGAAGUCAAGGCAAAUUGAAAAGAUUCUGACUUAUUGGAAGCAUUCACUGCAUUUAGGAAUCCAGCAAGCACGUAUUUCUCCAUGGUUUGCACCCUGUGUGCCUUCCCCUGCAUUGGAUGAUAACCAUCUUCGACUUCUCAAAAAAUACUUGGCUGUGCAAGACACAUGGUGCCAGUGCUUCUGGGGAGGGCCUCAGGGAGCUUCCACUCACUGGAAGAGGAACAGAACCCUGCAUGUGUGGAGAUCACAUGAUGACAGAGGACACAAGAAAGGGCGGAAGUGCCAGGCUCUUUUUAACAACCAGCUUUUGUGGGAACUAGCAGCACAGACUCACCACCCUGUCAAGGAAAGACACUAAUCUAAUCCACACUAAUGAAGGAUCUGCACCCAUGACCCAAACACCUUCAAUUCAGCCCCACUUUCAACACUGAGGUCUGAAUUUCAGCAUGAGAUCUGGGGGGACAAACAUGAAAACUAUAGCACCUUUCAUGUCGUUACCAUAUUCUCAGUCUCUCUGCCCCAAAACCCUGCAAGCCUUUUCCCCCCUGCAACUUCAAUCCAACCAGCCACCAUAUUCUGUGUUGUUGUUUUUUAAAAAUUAAC
Long non-coding RNA from Sapajus apella (tufted capuchin), 1025 nucleotides. RefSeq lists it as uncharacterized. NCBI's taxonomy places the organism in Eukaryota, Metazoa, Chordata, Mammalia, Primates, Cebidae. The transcript has 3 exons. The record is from RefSeq and is a predicted model, not a curated record.